AUUUUUAUAGUGUAAUUCAACAUAUUGUCUUUUCAAGACAGAGAUAUUUUAAAUUAAAAAUA
This 62-nucleotide transfer RNA is filed under the name Metacrangonyx sp. 1 MDMBR-2012. RNAcentral's name for it is "transfer RNA Glutamic acid". The record is from RNAcentral. Lineage: Eukaryota; Metazoa; Arthropoda; Malacostraca; Amphipoda; Metacrangonyctidae.